UGCGGUGAGGACAAGCGGCUAAGUCGCUGGUCUCAUAAGCCAGAGGAUCGGGUUCAACUCCCGGCACCGCUUCCA
RNAcentral lists this transfer RNA (75 nucleotides) under marine sediment metagenome. RNAcentral describes it as "tRNA-Met". It matches the Rfam family "tRNA". Rfam says of the family: Transfer RNA (tRNA) molecules are approximately 80 nucleotides in length. Their secondary structure includes four short double-helical elements and three loops (D, anti-codon, and T loops). The record is from RNAcentral.